Eucalyptus grandis is the source of this 1243-nucleotide long non-coding RNA. RefSeq lists it as uncharacterized. The record is from RefSeq and is a predicted model, not a curated record. Lineage: Eukaryota; Viridiplantae; Streptophyta; Magnoliopsida; Myrtales; Myrtaceae. The transcript is spliced from 2 exons.
GAAGACCACACCUGAUUCUCACCAUCUGGGCGUGGGUGAAUCCUCAGAGCUACCGGCUUUGACCUUCCUGCCAUCCCUCGCCCAUCACUCCCAACGGAGUUCUCUUCUCAGAAGAACUCCCGAGUCUUCAACCCGCUUGUCGCCAAAUCCAGCGUCGUCUUCUCUCUCGCUCCUCCUGCUUCUCUCGGGUCACUCGCGCGCUUUCCAUUCCCCCAAGUUCCAGCGCGUGAAUAUUGCGGUGCGGUUGGAUCUGACACUGAGGGUGUCCUUUUUCUUGCCCAAUUCAAAGAUCCACGCCCGCGGAAGUGAUAGCUGGUCUAAAUUCUCCGUUUUGUCUCCGUUGACGUUUCUUGAUUUGGUAACCAGGCUUUGGGUUUUCGAAUUGGGUCGGAGAUCAGGAUUGUUUUUUUUGGUUCCUAAUCUGGCGGAGGAGGAGGAGAAAGUAUCCACUCGAAAGCUCGCGAAUUGGGUUCUUUUUUUAAUUCUUAGAGUAGGUUGAAUUUUGUGAUUAGGGUUUCGAAGGGUCCAAAUCUGAGGCCUUUCGAUACUUUUUAGUUUGCAGAGAGUGGGUUUGGUUUUUGGCGGGAUUGAACAGGAGGAAUCUGGGGCUGCUGAUCCUGUUUGUCGAUUGGCAAUUGGGUGGAUUUUUUCGGUGAAGUUUUUUUGGAUAUACCGAAAAGGUUUUCGCAGUAUAAUGUCUUGGUCUGGCCCUGAAGAUGUCUAUCUAUCUACUUCCCUUGCCAUCUAUCUUGACAGCGGAAUUUUAGUGACUAAAGAGCACAUAUUAGGUUCAGGAAGUCUGAUGAGUGAGUCCAUUGGAAUGCCUUUUGAGCUUGGUGUAUUCUGGGAAUGUCCUUUCUUUGUAUGUCUGCCGAGAUGCUAUUAUCUAUCGCGACUGUGUCUGUUGUCCUAAACUUCUUGUGAUGAUGCUUCAAGUGAUUUAUAAGGUUGAGGUCUUGAAGCAAGACCAGAGUGAAAGGAGGAUUGUUGAGUUGGGAGUUGACUUUUCCUUGAUAUUGAGUUAUCAAAUGUGGUGUGGAAGAAAUGCAUUGCCCACAAAAAAUGAUAGGAUGAGCUAUUUUUCCCAAAGAGAAAAGACAAGUUGACUCGUAUGAGUGAGCAACCACACGUUCAAAAAAUUGGUUCAUGGGACUUCUGCCUUUUUAAUGCAAGUUUGUGCUUUGCCAAAUAUGGCAAACACAUAAUUAUACUUCAUAUUAAUCUGUUGCUAUGUUAACAUGCC